CGGUGGCCUCAUCCCCGGCGGCGUCUGUCCCAUCGGCGCGCAGCCCCAGGACCUCGCAAAGCGCGCGAAAAUCGGCGCGGGGCAGGCGGCCGGCGCCGCGGCAGUCCAGGUGGUGGAAGACCUCCUGCAGUAUCCCAGAAUCAACAUUUUGUCCAUUUUGCAAAUUCCUGCUUAUUCCUGAACACUCUGCCCAAGGGAUGCCUCUGCCAGGAAGAAGGUAUUUUCAGAAAGGUGGACUGAAAGUCUCAUUCCAUUCCUGUUCAGAGUACGCUGGCUUGGAAACCUGAUGGAUGCAGGUGCCCAGGGCUGCAGGGUCGUCCUGCUGUCCCCACUCCUGAGAAGCAAGCAGCCUGGGUCUUGCUGAGUAGCCUGGACCUUUUGUGGAAAUGGAAUCAUACAAUAUGUGACUGACUGUUUUUUGAAAACAUUAACAGCAGUGUUUUCGAGGUCAGCCAUGGUGUAGCCUGUGUUGGUAUGUCAUUCCUUUUUAUGGCUGAAUAAUAGUCCAUUGUAUGGCUAGACUGCAUUUUGUUUAUCCAGUCAUCUGCUGAUGGACAUUUGAGUUGUUUUCACUUUUUGGCUGCUCUGAAUCACGCUGCCAUGAACGUUCGUGCACAAGUUUUUGUGUGUUCACAUAUUUGCAUAGGAAUGCCGAUGUUCCCCAUGCGGGACCCUGCUCUUCUGUCCCAUGUUCCCGGGGCCUGCAGCCUGCUCAGUGAAUCCCUGCCAUCGGCUUCUCCUCCCAUGGCCGUGCCCGCAUCAGGUCUGUCGGCUGCGCAGCGCUCCACCUCCAGAAAUUACUGAGCCCUGCUCCCUCCUCCACUGGUACCACUUCGUGCUCAGAUCCAGCCCUGCAGGCCUGUGUCACUGCAGCAGCCUCCUCCCAAGAACUGGCCUUGAACUCCUUCAGUCUGUUCUCUGCAGCUGGAGGAUCCCUUUGUGAUUUCUCCCACAGGGACUGAAGGCAAAGUCCUCGCCAUGCCCCAAGGCCCGGCCUGCCUGGCACCCUAAUCCUCCCCUCUCCCCGGAAACCCCUCUCCAACCUCGCCUGUUGCCACCGCCUCCCUCCUGACCGCUUCCUGACCUCCCCUCAGCCCGCUGGCGUCUGCUUAUCCCAGAGGUUUCCAGCCCACGGCCUCACCUCCCAGUCCUUUGCUCUGUUGUCACCGCCUCAGUGAGACAUUUGCUGACCCUGCAAGCACUCCAUACUUGUAACAGACCCUGUCUCGCCUAUGUGUGUGGUCCAUCUGCCUGUGUUAACCUGUCGCCUGAGGGUAAGGCUGUUUGUUCACCUGGAAUGGUGUCUGGCACUCUAUAGAAAGAUCUCCACUUCCAUCUCAGCUGCCUCUUCAUGGAUAGUGUGAUGUGUUGCUUUCCACAUGUUUUCUUUGCCUACAAAUGGUGUGUAUUUUUGCACUGGUAUUUUUAAAAAGCAGCCAUUAUGCUACAUUACCAUUUAUUUGUGGGCCCCUCACAGGACUGGAACUUUGUGAGGCCAGGGACCUGUGCCCCCCAGUGCCCAGUGUGGGGCUUGGCAUCAAGUGGCACUAACAGCGUUAGCUUGUCUGGACACACAUUUGUAGAAGUGGAUUUACUGCAUCAAGAGGGAGAAUGACCUCUGGUCGGCAUGGGGGGGUUGAGUGUCCUUUGGCCCGGUGAUGUUGGAGUCCACAAAGCCUCUAUAUUUUGGUAGUGGACUGGAUCCCCAGCUGGGCCGUGGAAGCUUCUGGGCCUGGAGCCGCACAGCUGGGCGGUUUGUUGUGUACAUUUAGAAUAAGACUCUGGAACUUGGAUCUGGGCUUUCCAGUUGUGUCUCUGCAGAUGAAUCUGAUUUAAUUUCAAAUUAGUGCGGAGAGCGGGCAACCCAGGGAGGGCUGCAAUGCCCCCCUGCCCUGCCUCUGCCUCCGGUGAGUGCUUUGCAGAGGGAACCUUUUCAACAGUAACUUUCCUGGGCCAGUCAAUACUGAAAAGAAAGCCUUUCAGUGUUUUGCCAUGGAGCCCGUUGCCCGGGCCUCACCCCCUGCAGCUCGGCAGGGGCCAGGGAAGUCAGGGGUUAUAAUGGUGCGCUGUCAGGCCUGUCUGUCUGCGGGGCAGGGUGUUACCAGGCGCCUGUGAAAUAAUUCCAGUUGGACCCACAAGGUUUUGUUUAAGGCUGGAAGUGAGCAAACUCCGAGCUCUCCUGCUGCCUUUGUCUGGGCUGGGGGAUGGGUGUAUGUCUGCAGGGGAGAGAGCAGAGGUCCCAGCAAAGAAAUGAUUUUCCAAAGUCAGUUCAGCAUUACGUGAGUCAUUUCAAAUAGCAUAUUGUUCCAAGUGUCUUUAAACAGCCCAGAAAAAUCCUAAAAAGCAAAAAUCACCCACUAUCGUGCCGACAAGGGGGGGCAUGGGGUGCUUCUGAUGUAUUUACUUCUGAUGUGGUUUUACAUGCAUUUGAGCCCAAAAGAACUUCUUGGGGGUGAAGGAAAUAUUCUGUAUCUUCAUUGGGAUGGUGGUUACAUGACUGUACACAGCUGUCAAAACACUUAAAAGGGUGAAUUUUACAGGAUGUGAGUUGUACCCCAUUAAACUUGACAUAAAGAAACACAUUUGAAAGGCUGCUGGUGGGAUCUUCACACAUCAACCACACUUCCUGAAUAGCUUCACCAUCAUUAGCCUCCCUGUGCCAAAGUUCCUGAGUGGGCUCCUGCUCCCUCUUAGGACUCAGCUGGGAGCGGCUUCUUUGCACCCGCAGAAGCACAGUAAGGUGGUUUGCAGUUUUUCUCUAUUAAAACAACACUGAAUGGUUGGCUCUA
Long non-coding RNA from Manis pentadactyla (Chinese pangolin), 2789 nucleotides. RefSeq lists it as uncharacterized. The transcript is spliced from 3 exons. The record is from RefSeq and is a predicted model, not a curated record. NCBI's taxonomy places the organism in Eukaryota, Metazoa, Chordata, Mammalia, Pholidota, Manidae.